This 68-nucleotide transfer RNA is filed under the name Phyllochaetopterus sp. AW-2015. RNAcentral describes it as "tRNA-Val". Lineage: Eukaryota; Metazoa; Annelida; Polychaeta; Chaetopteridae. The record is from RNAcentral.
CAAGAUAUAGUAUAUUUAUAAUGCUUCUCACUUACACUGAGCCAAUGUCACUUCGCAGACUAUCUUGA